UCGGGGCAAACCUAAUCCGGCAAAUUUUGUCGGCAUAGAUCUUUGCCGACGACAUUUCGUCGGGAGAAGUGUUCAUGUGUUUUUUUUUUUUUUUUGAAAAGUAUAAAGUUUAAAAAUAUGGAUAUGUUUAAACUAGCAAAUUAAUAUCUAUAAAGUACAAGCUAAUGCAACUUGGAGGGUCCUUCUUUCUUUUAUUUAUUUAUUAAAUACUAU
RNAcentral lists this long non-coding RNA (213 nucleotides) under Prunus persica (peach). Its description in RNAcentral is "long non-coding RNA (PPER_LNC008617)". The record is from RNAcentral. Lineage: Eukaryota; Viridiplantae; Streptophyta; Magnoliopsida; Rosales; Rosaceae.